This 203-nucleotide ribosomal RNA is filed under the name Thanatephorus sp. RNAcentral describes it as "partial large subunit ribosomal RNA". It matches the Rfam family "Eukaryotic large subunit ribosomal RNA", at positions 82 to 279 of the family's 3401-position model. Lineage: Eukaryota; Fungi; Basidiomycota; Agaricomycetes; Cantharellales; Ceratobasidiaceae. The record is from RNAcentral.
AGUAACGGCGAGUGAAGCGGGAAGAGCUCAAAUUUAAAAUCUGGCAGUGUAUUCUGUCCGAGUUGUAGUCUAGAGAAGCAUCAUCCGUGCUGGACCAUGUACAAGUCUCUUGGAACAGAGCGUCAUAGAGGGUGAGAAUCCCGUCCUUGGCAUGGACUCCCAGUACUUUGUGUUGUGCUCUCAACGAGUCGAGUUGUUUGGGA